GUAUAAGUUUUAAAUUAGAGGGCACGCUUUUUUAGGGCGAGACCGUUCAUUUAUGACAUUCGGUAGACUUUGUGGGGUAUGUGAUAAAAAUUACAUAGGCCGAUCUCUCGGCCUACGAUGGGUGCACGGGUGUGUAUGAAUGAAUAAAAGAGGAGCGUGCACGGUUUGACCCAGCGACAGCUCCCUUUUUAUAUUUAAUUCAUUAAUGAUCCUUCCGCAGGUUCACCUACGGAAA
Molecule: unclassified non-coding RNA, 235 nt
Filed under: uncultured fungus
Lineage: Eukaryota; Fungi
Description: sequence contains ITS1, 5.8S rRNA gene
Source: RNAcentral